This 465-nucleotide ribosomal RNA is filed under the name Vreelandella stevensii. Its description in RNAcentral is "partial 16S ribosomal RNA". It matches the Rfam family "Bacterial small subunit ribosomal RNA", at positions 338 to 795 of the family's 1533-position model. Lineage: Bacteria; Pseudomonadati; Pseudomonadota; Gammaproteobacteria; Oceanospirillales; Halomonadaceae. The record is from RNAcentral.
CCUACGGGGGGCAGCAGUGGGGAAUAUUGGACAAUGGGCGAAAGCCUGAUCCAGCCAUGCCGCGUGUGUGAAGAAGGCCUUCGGGUUGUAAAGCACUUUCAGUGGGGAAGAAAGCCUUGGGGCUAAUACCCUCGAGGAAGGACAUCACCCACAGAAGAAGCACCGGCUAACUCCGUGCCAGCAGCCGCGGUAAUACGGAGGGUGCGAGCGUUAAUCGGAAUUACUGGGCGUAAAGCGCGCGUAGGCGGUCUGAUAAGCCGGUUGUGAAAGCCCCGGGCUCAACCUGGGAACGGCAUCCGGAACUGUCAGGCUAGAGUGCAGGAGAGGAAGGUAGAAUUCCCGGUGUAGCGGUGAAAUGCGUAGAGAUCGGGAGGAAUACCAGUGGCGAAGGCGGCCUACUGGACUGACACUGACGCUGAGGUGCGAAAGCGUGGGUAGCAAACAGGAUUAGAUACCCCAGUAGUC